AAAAAAAUUUAGUGUUAUUUUAAAAGUCUAUUUUAAUCUGUUAAUUUAUAAUAAAAGCCCAAAAAUUAAGUAAAUCUAAUUAAGUAACCUAAUUUAUAAAACAACAAAAAGUCUGUACUCUCACCUUUACAAUUUUUCCGUUGAUAAAAGAAAAAAAAACUCUAGAACCGAAGCGGUGACCAUUAGGCGUUAACAACACAAAUCAAAAACCAAAAAUCAUAUUCUAUUCAUCGAUCUGUUAGUGGAAUCCCUUUCCAUAGAGUUCUAAAAUUUUCUUUGGUGGGUCUCGUUAAGUGUUUUGGCAGAUCAAAUCCAGGUGACUUUGUUCUUUUAUUUUAAAAAGAGAUGGUGUGUGGAAAUGAUCAAA
Long non-coding RNA from Brassica napus (rape), 367 nucleotides. RefSeq lists it as uncharacterized. The record is from RefSeq and is a predicted model, not a curated record. The transcript has 2 exons. NCBI's taxonomy places the organism in Eukaryota, Viridiplantae, Streptophyta, Magnoliopsida, Brassicales, Brassicaceae.